RNAcentral lists this ribosomal RNA (433 nucleotides) under uncultured bacterium. RNAcentral's name for it is "partial 16S ribosomal RNA". It matches the Rfam family "Bacterial small subunit ribosomal RNA", at positions 29 to 507 of the family's 1533-position model. The record is from RNAcentral.
AACGAACGCUGGUGGCAUGCCUAACACAUGCAAGUCGAACGAGACCUUCGGGUCUAGUGGCGCACGGGUGCGUAACGCGUGGGAACCUGCCCUUAGGUUCGGAAUAACUCCCCGAAAGGGGUGCUAAUACCGGAUAAUGUCUUCGGACCAAAGAUUUAUCGCCUUUGGAUGGGCCCGCGUUGGAUUAGCUAGUUGGUAGGGUAAAAGCCUACCAAGGCGACGAUCCAUAGCUGGUCUGAGAGGAUGAUCAGCCACACUGGGACUGAGACACGGCCCAGACUCCUACGGGAGGCAGCAGUGGGGAAUAUUGGACAAUGGGCGAAAGCCUGAUCCAGCAAUGCCGCGUGAGUGAUGAAGGCCUUAGGGUUGUAAAGCCCUUUUACCCGGGAUGAUAAUGACAGUACCGGGAGAAUAAGCUCCGGCUAACUCCGUG